RNAcentral lists this ribosomal RNA (465 nucleotides) under Vreelandella stevensii. Its description in RNAcentral is "partial 16S ribosomal RNA". It matches the Rfam family "Bacterial small subunit ribosomal RNA", at positions 338 to 795 of the family's 1533-position model. Lineage: Bacteria; Pseudomonadati; Pseudomonadota; Gammaproteobacteria; Oceanospirillales; Halomonadaceae. The record is from RNAcentral.
CCUACGGGAUGCCGCAGUGGGGAAUAUUGGACAAUGGGCGAAAGCCUGAUCCAGCCAUGCCGCGUGUGUGAAGAAGGCCGUCGGGUUGUAAAGCACUUUCAGUGGGGAAGAAAGCCUUGGGGCUAAUACCCUCGAGGAAGGACAUCACCCACAGAAGAAGCACCGGCUAACUCCGUGCCAGCAGCCGCGGUAAUACGGAGGGUGCGAGCGUUAAUCGGAUUUACUGGGCGUAAAGCGCGCGUAGGCGGUCUGAUAAGCCGGUUGUGAAAGCCCCGGGCUCAACCUGGGAACGGCAUCCGGAACUGUCCGGCUAGAGUGCAGGAGAGGAAGGUAGAAUUCCCGGUGUAGCGGUGAACUGCGUAGAGAUCGGGAGGAAUACCAGUGGCGAAGGCGGCCUUCUGGACUGACACUGACGCUGAGGUGCGAAAGCGUGGGUAGCAAACAGGAUUAGAUACCCCAGUAGUC